GAAGCUAUGAAGAAAAGUAACAUGUAAGAAGACCCCUUGUGGAUCUUCAAUGAGAUAUAAUUUGUUACGCUUGGCUUCUGAGCUUC
Small nucleolar RNA from Mangifera indica (mango), 86 nucleotides. RefSeq annotates it as small nucleolar RNA R24. NCBI's taxonomy places the organism in Eukaryota, Viridiplantae, Streptophyta, Magnoliopsida, Sapindales, Anacardiaceae. The record is from RefSeq and is a predicted model, not a curated record. The transcript has a single exon.